This is an RNA transcript of Argentina anserina (silverweed cinquefoil), 1984 nucleotides long. RefSeq lists it as uncharacterized. The record is from RefSeq and is a predicted model, not a curated record. The transcript has 12 exons. Lineage: Eukaryota; Viridiplantae; Streptophyta; Magnoliopsida; Rosales; Rosaceae.
AAAAUAGAAGGUUCUCUUCUCUCAAAAGCCCCAAACUGUGCAAUAAACCCCACACACAACUCUCUCUCUCUCUCUCUCUCAUAUUUACAUGCUUCUCCGAUCUCGCCCGUGAAAUUGAGUGACGUAAUCAUGCCGGACGUGCAUACCCUUGUGAAUGGUUUCAUCAUCAAGCUGAAAAGGCGUAAAAUCGAGGGCUCGCAUGCCACGGCUAAGCAGGCUGCUGAGUUGCUGCGCUCGGUGAUUUCGUCACAGCGUGUGCCUUACACGAAUCAAGCUGCAGCCUUGAUUGAUGCUGUCAAGGCCGUUGGGGAGCAGCUCAUUGUUGCAAAUCCUGUGGAGCUUGCUGUGGGUAAUAUUGUGAGGCGUGUUUUGCACAUUAUCAGGGAGGAGGAUCUUUCUCUCGCCAAUGCUGCUAUGGCUGGGUUGAACAUGUCGACUGUCAGUGAUGAUGAAGAUGAUGGUGACCGCGACAACUAUCCUGUCUUGUCUGCUGCUGUAGUUGCAGCAGCUGCAAGAAGCACACUGCGUCCUCCGUCCUUGCAAACCCUCCUUGAAGACAUACCUGAUGCAGCAGCUUUGCCUCACACGUCUUCAUCUGGGGGUGAUUCUGAAGGAAAAAGCAAAUCUGCUGAUAAAAGUUCUAGAAGCCGGAAGCUGAAACAUGAUGUCAUUGAAGCAGUCAAUGAACUUAUUCAAGAUAUUGGCACUUGCCAUGAGCAGAUUGCUGAGCAAGCAGUAGAGCACAUUCACCAUAAUGAGGUUAUAUUAACUCUAGGCAGUUCAAAAACAGUACUGGAAUUUCUUUGUGCGGCAAAGGAUAAAAAAAGAUCAUUUCGGGUAUUUGUUGCAGAGGGAGCUCCAAGGUAUCAGGGGCAUCAUCUUGCAAAAGAAUUGGUUGCCAGAGGUUUACAAACCACGCUGAUUACUGAUUCUGCAGUAUUUGCUAUGAUAUCUCGAGUUAACAUGGUUAUAGUUGGUGCUCAUGCUGUCAUGGCCAAUGGUGGGGUUAUAGCACCUGUUGGGUUGAAUAUGGUUGCACUGGCAGCCCAAAGGCAUGCUGUCCCUUUUGUUGUACUUGCUGGCAGUCACAAGUUGUGUCCUUUGUAUCCACACAACCCAGAAGUCUUGCUGAAUGAGUUAAGAUCCCCUUCUGAGCUGCUGGAUUUUGGAGAAUUCUCAGAUUGCUUGGAUUCCCAAAGUGGCACUGGUUCCCCACUUCUGCAUGUUGUCAAUCCUACAUUUGAUUAUGUGCCGCCAAAGCUUGUUGGUCUAUUUAUUACUGAUACUGGAGGCCAUAAUCCAUCAUACAUGUACCGGCUCAUCGCAGAUUACUACUCUGCUGAUGAUUUGGUGGUCCAACUAAGACCUGGUACAGGGAGUUGAGUUCAGCUCCUGCUUUUAUAUCAUAUAUUGGGGCCCCUCCUGGCUCCUGAUGUUUGUGCAUUACAACUUCUGGGUUGAAGUGGGGUGGGAUUUACAGAUAUUAGGUGCUUAAAUGUCAUAAUUUCGAUCAGAUAUUCAGUGGGUAUGCUACGGCAGUUACCUGUUAGGGAGUACAGAAAGCUAUAAUGGUAAUGGGAUAAUCUGUGUUAUGGAAACUUGAAGAUCGUUGUCAUUACUGGUAGAGUGUCCUUGGACAAGAUGCGUUGCGGAGGAGUAUUAUGAGAAUUUAACCUCAGAUGAUACUACGAGAGCCAAUUUUGUGUAUCUGGCUACUUAGGGAAGUAGAGUUAUAUUCUUCGAAACACAGUGAAUAUAAUGUGUUUUUGUUAUGAUAUUGUAAGGACAAUGUGGAGAAGGAUUGUAUUCCAGUUCCAUAACAGGAUGUCGGAUACUAAAAUGUUGUAUUGCAUGUUGCUGAUCUUUUGCAGAUUGUUGAUGGUACCUUGUUUCAGUUACCGGAUGAGUGCCAGAAAUACUGUUGGAUAUUUGGCUUUUAGCUGACUGAAAAUAUUUUCCGGUUUCCAAGCGUGGAUUGUGUUUU